AUACGGAGGAUCCGAGCGUUAUCCGGAUUUAUUGGGUUUAAAGGGUGCGCAGGCGGCCUUUUAAGUCAGCGGUGAAAGUCUGUGGCUCAACCAUAGAAUUGCCGUUGAAACUGGGGGGCUUGAGUAUGUUUGAGGCAGGCGGAAUGCGUGGUGUAGCGGUGAAAUGCAUAGAUAUGACGAAGAACACCGAUUGCGUAGGCAGCUGACCAGACCGCAAAUGACGCUCAUGCACGAAAGUGCGGGGAUCGAACAGGAUUAGAUACCCUGGUAGUCCGCACAGUAAACGAUGAAUACUUGUUUUCGGCGAUAUAAUGUCGGAGGCAAAGCGAAAGCGAUAAGUAUUCCACCUGGGGAGUACGCCGGCAACGGUGAAACUCAAAUGAAUUGGCGGGG
Molecule: ribosomal RNA, 393 nt
Filed under: uncultured bacterium
Lineage: Bacteria
Description: partial 16S ribosomal RNA
Rfam family: Bacterial small subunit ribosomal RNA
Source: RNAcentral